CUUAGGCCUAACACAUGCAAGUCGARCGCKGUAGCAAUACAGAGUGGCAGACGGGUGAGUAACGCGUGGGAACGUACCCUUCGGUCUGGAAUAACCCAGGGAAACUUGGGCUAAUACCGGAUACGUGCGAGAGCAGAAAGAUUUAUCGCCGAAGGAUCGGCCCGCGUCCGAUUAGCUAGUUGGUGAGGUAAAAGCUCACCAAGGCGACGAUCGGUAGCUGGUCUGAGAGGAUGAUCAGCCACACUGGGACUGAGACACGGCCCAGACUCCUACGGGAGGCAGCAGUGGGGAAUAUUGGACAAUGGGCGCAAGCCUGAUCCAGCCAUGCCGCGUGAGUGAUGAAGGCCUUAGGGUUGUAAAGCUCUUUC
RNAcentral lists this ribosomal RNA (368 nucleotides) under uncultured bacterium. RNAcentral describes it as "bacterial SSU rRNA". It matches the Rfam family "Bacterial small subunit ribosomal RNA", at positions 43 to 437 of the family's 1533-position model. The record is from RNAcentral.